CAUUGCAUUCUACAUGCACCAUCGACGCUAACGUAUCCUUGAUUACAUGGAACUUCGAUUAUUCUUCGCGAUUGAUGUGGUUGAAGACAUGGAACAUACCAAUAAAAGCGAUCGUUUUCGUUGGUAUAAAGAAUAUCGCAAGGCGUGGUAGGUGUUAAUUCAACAUUUUCAUCAUCAGAUUCUGUUAGUUCUACGUCUGCGAACACUACACCACCAUACACGAUCAAUACAAUUAAAAUUCUUCUUAAAAACAUUUUUAGAUGUGAUGAAAUAAUAACAUUAAAGACCAAACUGUGACAAUAAUACCCAUAACAUAUCCUUGUGAGCAACCAACAUUGAUUAUAUUCAAUUUUGAAACGUUGGUAAAUUGUGACUCGCCAUUUCCGCUUGGUAAUAUAACCGUUUGAUUCUUUGAUUGAUUAUUAUUGGAGUUUAUGUGGCAACAAGAGCAACAAGCACAACAAAAUCCACCGUUAUAAGGACAAAAUCGCUUUCCGAAACGUUGGUAAUAUCUUGAAUAUCCUAAAACUAUUAUCACCGAUAAGAUUAAAAAUACGUUUGCCAAUCGCAUGUUGUCUUCGUCGUGUUAAAUACCGAACUGGGUAAUUCCCAAUUAUCAUUUAAAAUGUUAUUUAUCAUUAUUCAAGGAUAAAGGUUCAAAUUAUGUUAUUAAUUAAAAAAUUUUUUUAAGUUAAAGUGCGAUUUACAACGCAAUAUAAAUCUGUUGAUAAGUUCUUAUCAACAAUUUCUUGUUUUUAUUAAACGAGAAACCACAUAAAGUUGAUAAGUUGUCGCUGAAAACAGUUAUGAUUUGAAAUAUAUAAAAGGAUGAAGUUCCUAAAUUAUAAUAUUAUUUUCGUUUUAUUUUUCAUUACAAUUUUCGUUAAUUCGGAAGAAGUAGAUCCUGAAGUCGUCGAUGUAACAACGAUGCCAAAACCUAGUCCAAGAAGACUGUCUAAAAUUGUGAUGGUACCAUGUCAAGAUGGUUUUAUACCAACAAAUGGGCGAUGCGUAAGGGAAUUUAAACGUUAAAAUCCAAACAAUGCAUUAAUUAAAAUCUGUAUUUUGUUAAGUUGAAAUAAAUCUUAUUUAGUUUUCUUAUAA
This is a non-coding RNA of Onthophagus taurus, 1104 nucleotides long. The record is from RefSeq and is a predicted model, not a curated record. Lineage: Eukaryota; Metazoa; Arthropoda; Insecta; Coleoptera; Scarabaeidae.